This 457-nucleotide ribosomal RNA is filed under the name uncultured bacterium. RNAcentral describes it as "bacterial SSU rRNA". It matches the Rfam family "Bacterial small subunit ribosomal RNA", at positions 346 to 793 of the family's 1533-position model. The record is from RNAcentral.
GGGCAGCAGUGGGGAAUAUUGCACAAUGGGGGAAACCCUGAUGCAGCCAUGCCGCGUGUGUGAAGAAGGCCUUCGGGUUGUAAAGCACUUUCAGUAGGGAGGAAGGUAGUGUAGUUAACACCUGCAUUAUUUGACGUUACCUACAGAAGAAGCACCGGCUAACUCCGUGCCAGCAGCCGCGGUAAUACGGAGGGUGCGAGCGUUAAUCGGAAUUACUGGGCGUAAAGCGCAUGCAGGCGGCCUGUUAAGUCAGAUGUGAAAGCCCGGGGCUUAACCUACGGAAUUGCUAUUUAGAAACUGGCAGGCUAGAGUCUUGUAGAGGGGGUAGAAUUUCAGGUGUAGCGGUGAAAUGCGUAGAGAUCUGAAUGAAUACCAGUGGCGAAGGCGGCCCCCUGGACAAAGACUGACGCUCAGAUGCGAAAGCGUGGGGAGCAAACAGGAUUAGAUACCCUGGUAG